Molecule: ribosomal RNA, 253 nt
Filed under: uncultured bacterium
Lineage: Bacteria
Description: partial 16S ribosomal RNA
Rfam family: Bacterial small subunit ribosomal RNA
Source: RNAcentral
UACGUAGGUGGCGAGCGUUGUCCGGAAUUACUGGGUGUAAAGGGCGUGUAGGCGGGAUUGCAAGUUGGAUGUGAAAUUCUGAGGCUUAACCUCAGCGCUGCAUCCAAAACUGUAAUUCUUGAGUGGUGGAGAGGAAAGUGGUAUUCCUAGUGUAGCGGUGAAAUGCGUAGAUAUUAGGAGGAACACCAGUGGCGAAGGCGGCUAACUGGUCCAUAACUGACGCUGAGGUGCGAAAGCGUGGGGAGCAAACAGG